GACAGAGGGUGCAAACGUUGUUCGGAAUUACUGGGCGUAAAGGGCGCGUAGGCGGCCUUCUAAGUCGAACGUGAAAUCCCCGGGCUCAACCCGGGAACUGCGUCCGAUACUGGAAGGCUUGAAUCCGGGAGAGGGAUGCGGAAUUCCAGGUGUAGCAGUGAAAUGCGUAGAUAUCGAGAGGAACACCAGAGGCGAAGGCGAAUCACUGGACAGAAUCUGACGCUGAGGCACGAAAGCUAGGGGAGCAAACGGG
Molecule: ribosomal RNA, 253 nt
Filed under: uncultured bacterium
Lineage: Bacteria
Description: partial 16S ribosomal RNA
Rfam family: Bacterial small subunit ribosomal RNA
Source: RNAcentral